This 497-nucleotide ribosomal RNA is filed under the name uncultured bacterium. Its description in RNAcentral is "partial 16S ribosomal RNA". It matches the Rfam family "Bacterial small subunit ribosomal RNA", at positions 28 to 507 of the family's 1533-position model. The record is from RNAcentral.
GAUGAACGCUGGCGGCGUGCCUAAUACAUGCAAGUCGAGCGAACGGACGAGAAGCUUGCUUCUCUGAUGUUAGCGGCGGACGGGUGAGUAACACGUGGCUAACCUACCUAUAAGACUGGGAUAACUUCGGGAAACCGGAGCUCAUACCGGAUAAUAUUUUGAACCGCAUGGUUCAAAAGUGAAAGACGGUCUUGCUGUCACUUAUAGAUGUAUCCUCGCUGCAUUAGCUAGUUGGUAAGGUAACGGCUUACCAAGGCAACGAUGCAUAGCCGACCUGAGAGGGUGAUCGGCCACACUGGAACUGAGACACGGUCCAGACUCCUACGGGAGGCAGCAGUAGGGAAUAUUGCGCAAUGGGCGAAAGCCUGACGGAGCAACGCCGCGUGAGUGAUGAAGGUCUUCGGAUCGUAAAACUCUGUUAGUAGGGAAGAACAUAUGUGUAAGUAACUGUGCACAUCUUGACGGUACCAAAUCAGAAAGCCACGGCUAACUACGUG